Molecule: unclassified non-coding RNA, 214 nt
Filed under: plant metagenome
Description: partial contains small subunit ribosomal RNA, internal transcribed spacer 1, and 5.8S ribosomal RNA
Source: RNAcentral
UUUCCGUAGGUGAACCUGCGGAAGGAUCAUUCAUAAUAAGUGUUUUAUGGCACUUUUUUAAAUCCAUAUCCACCUUGUGUGCAAUGUCAGGGUUGAUUUUUCUCUCGAGAGGAUCAGCCCCAAACAUCAACUAUAUCUCAACUCUUUGUCUGAAAAAAUAUUAUGAAUAAAACAAUUCAAAAUACAACUUUCAACAACGGAUCUCUUGGCUCUC